Molecule: long non-coding RNA, 1763 nt
Organism: Numida meleagris (helmeted guineafowl)
Lineage: Eukaryota; Metazoa; Chordata; Aves; Galliformes; Numididae
Exons: 5
Source: RefSeq, a predicted model, not a curated record
CCAGCCUCACCUGGAAGGAUGUCACACCAUCACCAUGGCACAUGCACAGCUCUAAGCAUUCCACACGCCCACAGACAAUGGUUAAACCACUCCUUGGAACUGGCUCACAUGUGCUUACACGAGGGAAGGGAGCAGAGCAAUGUCACUGCUGACGCUGCACCACCAUUGAUUUUUGUCCUCCAGGUCACAGGCUGACAUGCCUCUCGCCCAGCUUCUAUGCUCUGCGGCACCUGGCAGAGGGGUGGAAAGUUCACAUCUCCCGUACAAGCGACAGAACACUUCUGCUUCACAAGGUAGAGGAGCCCAGAAAUCUUCCCAUUAUCUCAAAAAGGGUGAGAUGAAGUCCUCUGUUCGUGGAAUUAAGGCUGUAGCAGCUGGUGGGGUUACUGAAGCAGCAACAGCGAGCUCUGUUCUGCGUUAUGAAGACAUCACUUUCGCUGGAGAAGAAAUGUUAACGCUGGAACCGCACUCAAAUUCCCUCUAAUUGGAAGGAAACGUGAGACCCAACUCUCGGUUCUCAUUGGCAUGGAGACACUUGCGUACAAUCACGCUGCUGGACUCUGAGCAAAUUGAGAUUGCAGAUGAGUACUCCAGAUUUAGAGCUGUUAACCCUCCCUGUGCUGGGGACUGCGCUUUGGUUCUCUCCGAGGAUUUGUCUGUCCUGAAUGAAUGAAGGAUUUCAGAUUUCCCAGCCUGGCAGAGACCCCCGCGACACAGGGUGAGCGCUUCCAGCAUCCGGAGCAGUCACUCAGAGACACCUCCACUCCCAUAAACGUGAUGUCUCACCGGAUCAUUUGGAAUAAAGGGAUGGCUCCGGCUAUAGAUCGGUGGCUGAUCGAUGGGCUCGGCAGCAGCACUGAGGACGUGGGGACGCGGGGCAGCUCAGUGCGUUGUGUCUCUGCAGUGUCAGCUUUCCGGAGGCUGGGACGCGCUGAGCAGCUGUAACCCCUUGGAAUUUUUGGAGAUUCCGGGAAGCGACUGAUGAGGAAGCACUGGUGCAACUCCAAAACAGACAGAUAAACCCCAGGGGUUGAAGAGAGGAUCCCUUAUCUUUGAUUUAUGGCUGGGAUGUCUUUGCUGGGAAAUGAACUUUCCUCAGGUCUGAAUUUAUCCCGUUGUGGGAUUGCGGGAUAGGACCCUCCCUCUCAUCAACAUCUGUACAAAUUGUACCAGUGAUGAUCCACACUCCUUAUGGCAAACUUUACCCAGGUCCUUGCAGAAAGCACAGUGGGAAGCUCUGCUUGGUGAAGUCAGCAGGGUGUGGGAGGUUGGAAGCUCAUAGGUCAGUAACCAGCAUCAGAUGGGACAGGCUCACACCACACAGCAGGAUGGAGCCUGAGACUCAUCCCUGUCCUUGUGAGGACCUCAGCAUUACGUCCGGGCCUGAGGAGGCUCCACUGCAAUGGGGUAACUUUGUCCCAAAAGCAGAAGCACAGCAGCAAGAGCUUAUUUCCCCACAGAGACACUUCUGAGAGCCACCAGCUGCCUGGGUGACGGCUGCCCAACAGCAUACGUAGAGCCCUCGGUAGCAGAAUGCAUUUGGGUUCAGCGCCUGUUUCCUUCCUGCUAUUUAUUUUCGUUUUCCACAAUAAAAUGCUAAAUAUGAACUAUAGAUACUCUGCUUUAAAUUGCAACAAGAGCUGCAUUUUCCACUUGCUUGGUUAUAGCUCUUUAAGUGAUACAUUAUAUUGUUUGCCAGAAUACUUCUACAAAGUCUUUGCUUCAUUUAACUUGUAGAACAAUUCAGCCAGAUUGGUCCAUAA